Molecule: microRNA, 19 nt
Filed under: Ciona intestinalis (vase tunicate)
Lineage: Eukaryota; Metazoa; Chordata; Ascidiacea; Phlebobranchia; Cionidae
Description: cin-miR-4107-5p
Source: miRBase by way of RNAcentral
AUAUCUAAUUGAUUGUUGG